CCUACGGGAGGCUGCAGUGGGGAAUAUUGGACAAUGGGCGAAAGCCUGAUCCAGCCAUGCCGCGUGUGUGAAGAAGGCCUUCGGGUUGUAAAGCACUUUCAGUGGGGAAGAAAGCCUUGGGGCUAAUACCCUCGAGGAAGGACAUCACCCACAGAAGAAGCACCGGCUAACUCCGUGCCAGCAGCCGCGGUAAUACGGAGGGUGCGAGCGUUAAUCGGAAUUACUGGGCGUAAAGCGCGCGUAGGCGGUCUGAUAAGCCGGUUGUGAAAGCCCCGGGCUCAACCUGGGAACGGCAUCCGGAACUGUCAGGCUAGAGUGCAGGAGAGGGAGGUAGAAUUCCCGGUGUAGCAGUGAAAUGCGUAGAGAUCGGGAGGAAUACCAGUGGCGAAGGCGGCCUCCUGGACUGACACUGACGCUGAGGUGCGAAAGCGUGGGUAGCAAACAGGAUUAGAUACCCCAGUAGUC
Molecule: ribosomal RNA, 465 nt
Filed under: Vreelandella stevensii
Lineage: Bacteria; Pseudomonadati; Pseudomonadota; Gammaproteobacteria; Oceanospirillales; Halomonadaceae
Description: partial 16S ribosomal RNA
Rfam family: Bacterial small subunit ribosomal RNA
Source: RNAcentral